GGGGUGACUAGUGGCAGAGUGAGGGAAGGGGUGACUAGUGGCAGAGUGAGGGAAGGAAGGGGUGACUAGUGACAGAGUGAGGGAGGGGGUGACUAGUGACAGAGUGAGGGAGGGGGUGACUGUCACUAGUCACACCCUCCCUCUCUCUGUCACUAGUCACACCCUCCCUCACUCUGUCACUAGUCACCCCUUCCUUCCCUCUCUCUGUCACUAGUCACACCCUCCCUCUCUCUGUCACUAGUCACACCC
Non-coding RNA from Pelobates cultripes (western spadefoot toad), 249 nucleotides. The record is from the annotation of a GenBank genome assembly. Lineage: Eukaryota; Metazoa; Chordata; Amphibia; Anura; Pelobatidae.